RNAcentral lists this ribosomal RNA (497 nucleotides) under uncultured bacterium. RNAcentral's name for it is "partial 16S ribosomal RNA". It matches the Rfam family "Bacterial small subunit ribosomal RNA", at positions 28 to 507 of the family's 1533-position model. The record is from RNAcentral.
GAUGAACGCUGGCGGCGUGCCUAAUACAUGCAAGUCGAGCGAACAGAUGAGGAGCUUGCUCCUCUGACGUUAGCGGCGGACGGGUGAGUAACACGUGGAUAACCUACCUAUAAGACUGGGAUAACUUCGGGAAACCGGAGCUAAUACCGGAUAAUAUAUUGAACCGCAUGGUUCAAUAGUGAAAGACGGUUUUGCUGUCACUUAUAGCUGGAUCCGCGCCGCAUUAGCUAGUUGGUAAGGUAACGGCUUACCAAGGCAACGAUGCGUAGCCGACCUGAGAGGGUGAUCGGCCACACUGGAACUGAGACACGGUCCAGACUCCUACGGGAGGCAGCAGUAGGGAAUCUUCCGCAAUGGGCGAAAGCCUGACGGAGCAACGCCGCGUGAGUGAUGAAGGUCUUCGGAUCGUAAAACUCUGUUAUUAGGGAAGAACAAAUGUGUAAGUAACUAUGCAUGUCUUGACGGUACCUAAUCAGAAAGCCACGGCUAACUACGUG